Molecule: ribosomal RNA, 319 nt
Filed under: uncultured eukaryote
Lineage: Eukaryota
Description: partial 18S ribosomal RNA
Rfam family: Eukaryotic small subunit ribosomal RNA
Source: RNAcentral
CCCUUAGAUGUUCUGGGCAGCACGCGCGCUACAAUGGUCUUCGCAAACGGAUGCAUUCUCGAAGGAGAAUGCCAAUCUUGGAAUCUAUGCCUUGGUCGGGACAGUUGAUUGCAAUUUUUCGACUCGAACCAGGAAUUCCUUGUAAUCGUGAUUCAUCACAUCACGAUGAAUACGUCCCUGCCCUUUGUACACACCGCCCGUCGCUCCUACCGAUCGAAGAGUUAGGUGAAUUGUUUUGAUCGAUAAGAUUUGACUAUGGUCAACUCUCGUUGUGAAAUUCUGUGAAUCUGACUGUUUAGAGGAAGGAAAAGUCGUAACA